CCAGUACAGCUGAAGAACACUUCUGCUUUGGUCUCAGUCCUUCUCCAUUCACUGAGGCUCGUUUUGUGGCCUGGCACAUGGUCUGUCAUUGGGAAUGUCCCAUAGGCACUCGAGAGGACUGUGUAUUCAGCUGUCGUUGGGGGGGGCGUGUGUGACAGAUGUCCAUUCAGCGUACCUGGUUUCCGGUGUUAAUCUUCAGAAUGUUUCUGACACUAGAAAAUCAGAAGCUUUCCACUGUUCCCAGCACCGUGGCUUUGGGAGAGGCCAGUGAGCCUAUGGUUUUGGAGCCUGGUUGUAUGAGAGAAGCAUGUGUGGAAACACCAGGGGCUGGCUUUGAACCCCAUUCCCCCAACAUGAUGCCAUGUGUGGCAGACAUGAUGCUUGGCUUUGCUCUCUCAGGGUUCCAUCUGCGACAGGGGCUACUUGUGCCUGUGGCCUCAUCAUCUCAGGCUGAAGGCGGCCCUGGUCCUCACCAGAGGGACUUUGUGAAGCAGAAAUAGAUGGCCUGGUGCAGGGGCCGAGCCUGGCCAGGACCUCGGCCCUGGGAGUUGUAAAGAAGGCCGUCCUCUACCAUGAGCAUCUUCACCAAGCUGUGCCCAUGUCACAGUGUGCUCGGUGUCUGCCCUUGUACAGGCCAGCUGCGGGCCGUCUGGUGGCUGUGCUACUUCUACAGCAUUGUCAUGCCCAGCGAGGCCCAGUGUGUCCUCUACCACGAGUUCCAGCUUCCUCUGGCCCACAAGGUGACUGACAAGGGCCUACAGAUCCACUCUGGACUACACCAAACAAAGUCUAGGGAUUCUCAUUGAUCUCCAGAAGAAAGAAGAGGCGCAUGCCUGUCUGCAAGCAGGGAAGAUCUACUACAUCCUGCGGCAGAGCAAGCUGGUGGACCUGUUCAUCCAGAGGCUUUCCCAAACACAGUGUGAUCUGGAACAAAUUGCGAAGCCCACGAGCCUGGUGAAGCUUUCAUUAUUGAGCACCUGCUGUAUACGUCCUUGAGCUGAGGAGAAGGAUCAACAGCUCAUGGCCAAGAGGGGACCAAGCCCACCCACAAACACUGUUGAUCUGUGGCCCUGAACUGCGGCAGGGAUGUGGCAACGCAGAAAGGAAGCAGGUGGCACAGAAUGUGGUCCUGUACACAGGCGACUCCAACCUGGGGCUGGAGCCGUUUGAGGCAGCUGGAGACAUCUUCAACGAGGCCUGGGAGCGGGAGAAAUCCGUGUCCUUCUACCGGGACCCGACCCUGCCCCUGGCAGUGACUACGGGCAACUGCAAGGCGGAGCCGCAGCUGUGCAACAAGCUGGUGGCACUGCUGGCCACGCUGGAGGAGCCCCAGGAGGGCUUGGAGGUUGCCCACAUGGCCCUAGCACUCAGCAUCACUCUGGGGGACCGGCUGAAUAAGCACGUGGCCUUCCACAGGCUGGCUGCUCUGCACCACUUGCUGGGCCAUGGCAAGCUAGCGGAGCACUUCUACCUCAAGGCCCUGUAGCUCUGCAACUCACCACUGGAGUUUGACGAGGAGACCCUCUACUAUGUGAAGGUGUACCUGGUGCUCGGUGACAUCAUCUUCUACGACCUGAAGGUCGGUGGGGAGGAGCAGGGCUCUGGGUGUUUCCAGCCCCCUUGGAGUAGGAUCUCCACCCAGACCCCAGGGGCCUGGGUUCCAGCCUUCCUUAGGAAUGGCCCAGUGGCCUCCCUGGAGCUCUGCACACAGCUGGAGAAACCAGCAAGGUUCACAGAUACAACCCAGCUCCCAAGCUGGCCAGGCCCCACCCUCAAGAACUCAGUCUCAGCCUGGGAGGCUGACACAUAAGCGGGCAAUGGUGGCCUCUGGGUAAAGAAGGGGGAUUGUAGUCAGGGGGGCCCUCCUGGAGGAGGUGACACCAAACUGAGUCUUCACACUGAAGUGUCAGGUUGCAUUUAAGAAAGAAAACAAGGUCAGGAAGAGGACAUUUUGGAGGACGGCAUCAUCCUCACAUUGAAUCCACAUUGCAAGAUCUAACCCAAGUCCCAGUGCCUCCUCUAGGAAGCCUGCCCAGGGUGCCAGCCUGCACUGAACUCCUUCCUGGAGUCCUGAGACACCUUGAAUCUUCACAUCACCCAGGAAGGGUGGGGUGGGACCCGUGUCUUACCAUCCACUUCACAGUGGAACCCCAGCUCACAGCAGGUGCAGUGGGGCGGGGCCCUAGCCAGCCAGGUUGAGACCUUGCUGGGUCGGGUCUGUCUUAAGGGGAAGUGCUGUGCUCUCUCUGGCCCCAGCCCUGCAGGGGUGGAGAGCUGGGACUGGCAGACUCAGACCUGGGGUGUCUCCACCCCUCUGCCCAGCAGGCACCCGCCCCUCCUCAGCAUAGCACUGGCACCACGUCAGUACUCCCUAUGGGCUGAGGGGUCAGGGCGCUCCAGUCCAGGGCCCGAGAUCUUGGCCUUAGAACAACAUGAGGAGCUGGAGCAGCCCUAAGACCCCGCCCCGUAUCCCUCACCACAGGCCUGGGGCUGUCCGGGAGGCCCCUGCCCAGUGCUGGUGACACCUGGUGGUCAGAAGAGGUCCCUGUGGCCUCCCAAGUCCCAGCCAGACAGGGAGGUACCAGGUGUCAGGCCCAGAGGGACGCUGCUCACCGCUCAUGGGCUUGCCUGGGACCCAGGGAACGGGCCUCCCAGAAGUGGGCCUUUAUCUCCUUUGUCAACGCUGCCGCCCACUCUGCCUGCCCUGGAGAAAGGAAAGGGCCAAGUAGUACCUGAGAGGCCGAAGUCCAUGGAAGGGGCAGAAGCCUCCUUCACCUCCUUCUUGUGCACAGCCCUCUGGGCCUCAUCGUAACUAUGUUGUCAGCCCAGGCCAGCUUCCCACAGGGAGGCCCCCUCAGAAUUCCCCAGGGGCGACUGUCUUUCCAAGGCCACACCCUUCUCCUUGUAUAGGAGGCUCUGGACCCGGGGGCCAGAGGAGUGGGAGAGAAAGCUGGGCUGGAUGGGGCCUGGAAGGCUGGCGGAGAGGCAAGGUAAAUGGGCAUCCUAGCCGAUUGCCUCUAAAAUGAGGUCCCCUUUACUACACGUGAGAGUGAGCCCUGGAAUAGGGUGGAUUAAGUGUGUCCUGGCUCAGCCUGCCACUCACUAGCAGCUGCACACACUACAGGCACAUGGAAAUGCACAUGCAAAUGCACAGGCACAGGGGCACAGGCACCCAAACACGCACACGCAGAGACAUGCUUUGGCUGGCUGCUUCCUGUGUAGUUAGGAAGCCGCCACCCCUUCAGGAAGCCCUUGUCUCCCACCCCGGCUAAGUCAGGGGCCUCCUGGGCCCCCACAGGCUCCUGGGCUUCCCUCUGCCACAGCCCGGGCCACCUUUGUGGUCAGUGUUCAGUCCCAGGUCCCUCAGACUGGGAGCAAGGACGUUAGGCUCAGCCAUGCACCCAGCACAGAGUCCAGUGUUUCGCUGGGCCGGGGGCCACUGGAUGUGCAGCGGUGGUGACUCAGGGUCUUCUCACGCCCCUGCUCCAUGUGUGGGGCGGGGCAGUGAGGGAAUGGACUGCUGCAUCUUGGACUUUGUCCUUGGCCCGGGGAGCCAUCUUGAGAUGGUAAAGAGGGACAGGAUAGGCCUGGGUCUUAGAGAGGUCCCUUGGGUGUCCCCCAUGUGGAGGAGGCGCCUGGGGAGAACCCGGCAGGGAGAUGGGAGGGUCAAGGUGGAGGUCUGGGAGGCAGCAUCCCAACCCAGGGAUGGUGACUUUGAGCCAAAGAUGCAUUGAAAAUGGGAGUGGAUGUCUGGGGAGUCACACUCCGUCAAUAGUUCAGGAAACAUUGCCAGGGAGGACACCUGUGAGAUGGUUUUGUACCUGGCCUGGCCCGUGGAGGGCCUGGAAAUGAUCAGCAUAGACAGGGGCCAGAGGGGAGCCUGGGUCACUCAACGCUGUGCCCCUGCUGUGGCUUGGAGCCACGGGUCCUGCAUGGAACUCUCAGAGCAGGCAGGAUCUGCCCUGACCUUAGCCCAUGGGGAAAGCAGCCACUGCCUGCAGAGAGGGUGGGACUGGGGCAAGAGGCUUGGGGUGAGUGGAGCAUAGGGAUAGUCCGGAAGGCGUCCAGGGGUUUCAGGGUUGUCCCCAACUCCUGCAGCUGCGACCACAGCAGUGUCACAGGCUUCAGGGCUCAUGGGGUGAGCCAGCAUUGGCUGGACAUGUGGAAUGACCUGGAGACAGGAACAGCCUCUGGGAAGACAGGCUCCGAGUCCCCUUCAGGAAUGGUUUGAUGCAGCCGGGUACUACCAGCUGGCACUGGCAGCCGCCAUGGACCUGAGCAACAAGAAGGGCACAGCUGAAGACCUACACGCGGCCGGCCACCAUCUCCCACAACUUCCUCCUGGACCACAAGAAGUCGCUCCUCCUCUACCAGAAGGCCAGGACCUUUGCCACAGUGCUCAAUGUCUGCAGGGUCAACCUGCCUCCUCUGCCACUCUGCGGGUGGGCCCCCUGGUUGGCCCCUGCCACCCUCACUGAGGACAGCAUCCGAGGGAGUGGGUUUUAUGCCAGGAGGAUGGUCUCCUGCCUCUCCUGGUGUCUCCCGUGGCUCAUUUUCUGGGAAAUGGAGGCAUGAAAGCAGGGUUCAAAUAGCAAUAAAUGCUUUUUUGCA
Piliocolobus tephrosceles (Ugandan red Colobus) is the source of this 4611-nucleotide long non-coding RNA. RefSeq lists it as uncharacterized. The transcript has 7 exons. Lineage: Eukaryota; Metazoa; Chordata; Mammalia; Primates; Cercopithecidae. The record is from RefSeq and is a predicted model, not a curated record.